GACAGAGGGGGCAAGCGUUGUUCGGAAUAACUGGGCUUAAAGGGCGCGUAGGCGGGCCGCCAAGUUCGAGGUGAAAUCCUCCGGCUCAACCGGAGAACUGCCUCGAAUACUGGAGGCCUCGAGGCGGGUAGGGGCACGCGGAACUGUGGGUGGAGCGGUGAAAUGCGUUGAUAUCCACAGGAACUCCGGUGGCGAAAGCGAUCGACUGGACCUCUUCUGACGCUGAGGCGCGAAAGCCAGGGGAGCAAACGGG
This 253-nucleotide ribosomal RNA is filed under the name uncultured bacterium. RNAcentral describes it as "partial 16S ribosomal RNA". It matches the Rfam family "Bacterial small subunit ribosomal RNA", at positions 524 to 776 of the family's 1533-position model. The record is from RNAcentral.